GCACUAUACGGCGAAACUGCGAACGGCUCAUUAUAUAAGUUAUCGUUUAUUUGAUAGCACCUUGCUACUUGGGUAACCCGUGGUAAUUCUAGAGCUAAUACAUGCUAAAAAUCCCGACUCCGGAAGGGAUGUGUUUAUUAGAUUCAAAACCAAUGCCCCCUGGGCUCACUGGUGAUUCAUGAUAACCGCUCGAAUCGCACGGCCUUGCGCUGGCGAUGGUUCAUUCAAAUUUCUUCCCUAUCAACUUUCGAUGUUUGGGUAGUGGCCAAACAUGGUUGCAACGGGUAACGGAGGGUUAGGGCUCGACCCCGGAGAAGGAGCCUGAGAGACGGCUACUACAUCCAAGGAAGGCAGCAGGCGCGCAAAUUACCCAAUCCCGACACGGGGAGGUAGUGACAAUAAAUACCGAUAUAGGGCUCUUUUGGGUCUUAUAAUUGGAAUGAGUACAAUUUAAAUCCCUUAACGAGGAACAAUUGGAGGGCAAGUCUGGUGCCAGCAGCCGCGGUAAUUCCAGCUCCAAUAGCGUAUAUUAAAGUUGUUGUGGUUAAAAAGCUCGUAGUUGAACCUUGGGCCUGGCUGGCCGGUCCGCCUCACCGCGUGCACUGGUCCGGCCGGGCCUUUCCCUCCGCGGAACCCCAUGCCCUUCGCUGGGCGUGGCGGGGAAACGGGACUUUUACUUUGAAAAAAUUAGAGUGCUCCAGGCAGGCCUAUGCUCGAAUACAUUAGCAUGGAAUAAUGAAAUAGGACGCGCGGUUCUAUUUUGUUGGUUUCUAGGACCGCCGUAAUGAUUGAUAGGGACAGUCGGGGGCGUCAGUAUUCAACCGUCAGAGGUGAAAUUCUUGGACCGGUUGAAGACUAACUACUGCGAAAGCAUUCGCCAAGGAUGUUUUCAUUAAUCAGGAACGAAAGCUAGGGGAUCGAAGACGAUCAGAUACCGUCGUAGUCUUAGCCAUAAACUAUGCCGACUAGGGAUCGGGCGAUGUAUAUUCUGUGACUCGCUCGGCACCUUCCGAGAAAUCAAAGUGCUUNGGC
This 1032-nucleotide ribosomal RNA is filed under the name Ophiocordyceps camponoti-bispinosi. Its description in RNAcentral is "SSU rRNA". It matches the Rfam family "Eukaryotic small subunit ribosomal RNA", at positions 69 to 1112 of the family's 1831-position model. Lineage: Eukaryota; Fungi; Ascomycota; Sordariomycetes; Hypocreales; Ophiocordycipitaceae. The record is from RNAcentral.